GCCCGUGGUCGAGAGCCACUUCUGGUCGGCGCCGACCAGCAGCGCGAGGUCCUUGGUCAUGAAGCCGGACUCGACCGUAUCGACGCAGACCUUCUCCAGCGUCUUGGCGAACUUCGCCAGUUCCUCGUUGUUGUCGAGCUUGGCGCGGUGGGCGAGGCCCUGCGUCCAAGCGAAGAUCGAGGCGAUCGAGUUGGUCGAGGUU
RNAcentral lists this unclassified non-coding RNA (202 nucleotides) under Hevea brasiliensis (rubber tree). The record is from RNAcentral. Lineage: Eukaryota; Viridiplantae; Streptophyta; Magnoliopsida; Malpighiales; Euphorbiaceae.